AAUCAACGCUGGCGGCGUGCUUAACACAUGCAAGUCGAGCGGUAAGGCCCUUUCGGGGGUACACGAGCGGCGAACGGGUGAGUAACACGUGGGUGACCUGCCCUCAGCUCUGGGAUAAGCCCGGGAAACUGGGUCUAAUACUGGAUAUUACUCUGCGGUGCAUGCCGUGGGGUGGAAAGCCUUGUGCGGCUGGGGAUGGGCCCGCGGCCUAUCAGCUUGUUGGUGGGGUGAUGGCCUACCAAGGCGACGACGGGUAGCCGGCCUGAGAGGGCGACCGGCCACACUGGGACUGAGACACGGCCCAGACUCCUACGGGAGGCAGCAGUGGGGAAUCUUGCGCAAUGGGCGAAAGCCUGACGCAGCGACGCCGCGUGAGGGAUGACGGCCU
Molecule: ribosomal RNA, 388 nt
Filed under: uncultured bacterium
Lineage: Bacteria
Description: bacterial SSU rRNA
Rfam family: Bacterial small subunit ribosomal RNA
Source: RNAcentral